GACGAACGCUGGCGGCGUGCUUAACACAUGCAAGUCGAACGGAAAGGCCCUGCUUGCAGGGUACUCGAGUGGCGAACGGGUGAGUAACACGUGGGUGAUCUGCCCUGCACUUCGGGAUAAGCUUGGGAAACUGGGUCUAAUACCGGAUAGGAGCCAUCUUUAGUGUGGUGGUUGGAAAGUUUUUUCGGUGUAGGAUGAGCUCGCGGCCUAUCAGCUUGUUGGUGGGGUAAUGGCCUACCAAGGCGGCGACGGGUAGCCGGCCUGAGAGGGUGUACGGCCACAUUGGGACUGAGAUACGGCCCAGACUCCUACGGGAGGCAGCAGUGGGGAAUAUUGCACAAUGGGCGCAAGCCUGAUGCAGCGACGCCGCGUGGGGGAUGAAGGCCUUCGGGUUGUAAACUCCUUUCGCUAGGGACGAAGCUUUUUUGUGACGUUACCUAGAUAAGAAGCACCGGCUAACUACGUG
RNAcentral lists this ribosomal RNA (466 nucleotides) under uncultured bacterium. RNAcentral describes it as "partial 16S ribosomal RNA". It matches the Rfam family "Bacterial small subunit ribosomal RNA", at positions 28 to 507 of the family's 1533-position model. The record is from RNAcentral.